UUCCGAAAGCUGCCUUAACGUUG
RNAcentral lists this non-coding RNA (23 nucleotides) under Arabidopsis thaliana (thale cress). Lineage: Eukaryota; Viridiplantae; Streptophyta; Magnoliopsida; Brassicales; Brassicaceae. The record is from RNAcentral.